Canis lupus familiaris (dog) is the source of this 4374-nucleotide RNA transcript. It is a transcript of the gene named minichromosome maintenance 10 replication initiation factor, with no coding region annotated. NCBI's taxonomy places the organism in Eukaryota, Metazoa, Chordata, Mammalia, Carnivora, Canidae. The record is from RefSeq and is a predicted model, not a curated record. The transcript has 22 exons.
GGCGUCAGGGGAGGGGUGCGGCCAAGUUGGAAUUUUGGCGGGUCUGGCUGCCGGGCGGGAGCCGGCGCGGAGGAGGCAUAGCCGAGAUUCGACAUUAUUGCCAUUUCCUGAGCACCUGAUUCUCCUUCGAAGUUCUCCAUCACAACUGUUCUCUUCGCGGCAUGGAUGGGGAGGAAGAUGACUUAUCUCUGCUCACUGCACUGCUGGAGGAGAAUGAGUCUGCCUUGGAUUGUAAUCCAGAAGAAAGUCACCCCUUGACCCAGGAGGAUCGUGAACCCGACGCCUAUGAUGAGCUCUUUGAUGCGGAUGACGAUGGUGAAUCUUACUCAGAGGAGGCCACUGAUGGAGAACUGGGAGAGACUGCAGUGCAAAAGGAAAAUUUGGCCACUCUCUUUGGAGAUAUGGGGGACUUAACAGAUGAGGAAGAAAUUCCCACACGGCAGUCACCUGAAAAUAGAGUCCCCCCCGCUCCUGCUCCCAGUCAGGGGAAAACUAAUCAAGAGUUGCAAGAUGAACUAAGGAAGUUGCAAGAGCAGAUGAAAUGUUUGCAAAAACAACUAGAAAUAGCAACAAUUAAACAGCCUACAAGUUCACCCCUUCCACCUAAAUCUGUAGAUAAGUCAUCACGUCCACCUCUUAAAGAGAAGAAAGUUCAGAGAAUUCUGGAGUCGACGUGCUUUUCUGCAGAGCUUGAUGUCCCUGCUCUCCCAAAAACCAAACGAGUGGCUCGGACACCAAAGGUUUCACCUGCAGAGCCCAAAAGCUCCUCUUCAAGAAUGACAAGUACAUCCCCUCAACCACUCCGAACUACUCCUGGAAACAAACCUAGUGGGAUGGCCAGAGGUCAAAAUGCAGGGACCCCUAGGAGUUCUGGGGAACCGGCUCAGACAGUAGUCUCCGUGGAAGCCUUCUCAGGCCUGAGGCUCAGGCGGCCUCGAGUGUCCUCCACAGAGAUGAACAAGAAAAUGAUUGGCCGAAAACUGAUCAGACUGUCUCAGCUCAAGGAAAAGAUGGCAAGUGAGAAGCUAGAAGAAAUAGACUGGGUGACUUUUGGGGUUAUAUUGAAGAAAAUCACUCCGCAGAGUUGUAAUAGUGGGAAAACAUUUAGUAUCUGGCGACUGAAUGAUCUCCGUGACCUGACACGGUAUGUGUCGUUGUUCUUAUUUGGAGAAGUUCACAAAGAACUCUGGAAGACUGAACAGGGUACUGUCAUAGGUCUGCUCAAUGCUAACCCCAUGAAGCCCAAGGAUGGUUCAGAUGAGGUGUGCUUGUCUGUUGAUCAUCCUCAGAAGAUCUUAAUCAUGGGUGAGGCUCUUGACCUAGGAACCUGUAAAGCAAAGAAGAAGAAUGGACAGCCGUGUACACAGACUGUUAAUUUGAAUGACUGUGAGUACUGUCAAUAUCACAUCCAGGCUCAAUAUAAGAAGCUCAGUGCCAGGCGAGCUGACCUGCAGUCCACCUUCUCCGGAGGACGAAUUCCAAAGAAGUUUGCCCGCAAAGGCAGCAGCCUAAAAGAACGGCUAUGUCAGGAUGGUUUUUACUAUGGAGGGGUUUCUUCUGCAUCGUACGCGGCCUCAGUUGCGGCUGCUGUUGCUCCUAAAAAGAAGAUUCAAACCACUCUGACUAAUCUGGUGGUUAAGGGGACAGACUUGAUCAUUCAGGAAACCCAACAAAAACUUGGAAUACCCCAGAAGAGCUUGUCUUGCUCUGAGGAAUUCAAGGAACUGAUGGACUUGCCUACAUUUGGAGCCAGAAACUUAAAACAACAUUUAGCCAAAGCCAGGUUACCAGGGAUAACAGGAAGCCCGAAACCUGCUUUCCAGUCUGUCUCAGCAUCAGCCCUCUUAAAGCAGCAGAAGCAGCACAUGCUGGAGAUGAGGAAGAAGAGGUCAGAAGAAAUACAAAAACGAUUUCUCCAAAGCUCAAGUGGGAUCAAGAGCCCAGCCGUGACACCCUCUUCUCAACGGGUCCCUUCCCAGUCUCUGCAAACGGCGGCUGUGUUGCCCAGCCUGGAAGGAGCACCAGCCACACAGAUGCCCAAGCUGGGGCGAGGCAUCUCAGAAGGAGAUGACGUUCUCUUUUUUGAUGAGUCACCACCACCAAGACCAAAACUGAGUGCUUUAGCAGAAGCCAAAAAGUUAGCUGCUAUAACCAAAUUAAGAGCAAAAGGCCAGAUUCUGACAAAAACAGACCCAAACAGCAUUAAAAAGAAGCAAAAGGACCCCCAGGAUGUCCUAGGAGUGAAGGACCGUGUAGAAAAGAACCACAACUUUUCUCCUGAAGCUGAAGAUGAGUUGGAGCCUGCCAGGAAAAAAAGGAGAGAACAACUUACCUACCUGGAAUCUGAAGAAUUUCAGAAAAUUCUAAAAGCAAAAUCAAAGCACACAGGAAUACUCAAAGAGGCUGAGGCUGAGCUGCAAGAACGCUAUUUUGAGCCAUUGGUGAAAAAAGAACAAAUGGAAGAAAAGAUGAGAAGCAUCAGAGAAGUGAAAUGUCGAGUAGUGACAUGCAAGACGUGCGCCUAUACCCACUUGAAGCCUUUGGAGACCUGCAUCAGUGAGCAGCACGACUACCACUGGCAUGACGGCAUAAAGAGGUUUUUCAAGUGUCCCUGUGGAAACAGAAGCAUCUCCCUCGAUAGGCUCCCCAAAAAGCACUGCAGUAACUGUGGCCUCUUCAAGUGGGAACGAGAUGGAAUGCUGAAGGAAAAAAUGGGCCCAAAGAUAGGAGGAGAAACCCUAUUACCAAGAGGAGAAGAACAUGCCAAAUUUCUGAAUAGCCUUAAAUAGCCCUGACUUCAAACAGAUCAUGCCAAUUUCUUCAUACACCAUUCCAUUUAGACAAAUUGAAGGCGUCUCUGGCAAAGGUGCUAACAGCAUGGCUUUUGUGUAGGGGACCACUUGCAGCUGAGCAGCUUUAGCCAAGCCAGGUGUCAUGCAACCAAUCUCAGAUGGGCUGACCCAAGCUUCUUGCUCUGAAGGUGGAAGCAGACUUUGGCUCCCACACAGACCUUAGAGAAGCGGUCUUCCCAAGUUGCCUUUCUGGAGGAGCAGCAGAUUGGACUCUGGACUCAGCGAUGGCUACGGACAAUUUAAGUCCUGGGUCAGAAUGCCAUGUUAACACCAUGCAUCCUGUGCACUGUGUACAUCCCUUCUCAGGUUCUGCAUUGUAUUCUCAGCGUCUCCUCUCAUCCCAGAGGAACGUCUCGCAUCUUUAUCCAGAAGAUUAGAGAUGUCAGAUGCCUGUUUCCUGGUUCCAGAUUGCAUUCUAUCAAUGUUACCUGCCUGUUACCCAGCCUGAGACAUAACUGGGCUCUGUUCUCCUGCCCCUGCACAGGAGUUGACUGGGUGACAGCAGGUGAACUCAGGUGUGUCCUAUGUCUUCACUAGGCUGUCCUGGCCCCACCCCACCCUCCACCCACCCACGACUGACACACAGAGCUUCUGUUUGAGGAGAGGACCCCAUGGCUUCAUCACACUCCUCAUGGUUUUGAAUCAGCUUAGGAGAAUGGAAACUAUUCGCCUCUCCCAAAUUCACACCUGUUCCCCACUGGAAGUCUGCCAGGAGGCCGCUUCUCUGAUCUCCAUCACAAACUGCCCGGCCUUCGUCACAGCCCUUCCAGUAUUCGAUGUUUGCUAACUUCUAAAUCUCAAGUUGUGAGAGGCCUGGAGAUUUUCCCAGUGUGGUUCAUUCUUAUCCAGUUGGAGGGGGUGGGAAAGGAAUUUCAUCUCCAAGCCUUUUUCAUUAUUUGAAAACAGUCUUGUUAUUUUUGACGGAGCUUGUAAAGCUUUCUGAGUGUGCCGAGGGACACAAAGAGUUUAUUCAGACACGUGCACAAGUAAUGAAUCAAGCCACAGCCUCAGAGACAGAGCUCAGAGUCCUUGGAAGAAUCUAGUCCAAGGGCAGAAAACUCAGAUGCCUUCCAGGGUCAGCAGGUCAUGGAAAUGAGGGUCCUUGCCAGGCAGGGGACACCAGGGCCUACUUCAGACUGAGAAGGAGACACGCUUCCAAGCUCAAAAGUCUUCCAAAUGCAUUGGAAAUGAAAAAUUACAAAAACAAAAAACCCCACAACCACUGCUGGCUGAAUACCACAAUUUCAGGAGCUUAUAAAUAAAGAAACUUGGGGCCAAGGGGAGGAAGUGGCCAAGGCCACUUAGCACAGCUGUCACCAAGCCCACAGUCCGAGCUCCCGGUCCUGUGUGCCCUCUCUCUACUAUAGUGCCAUUUGUUGCUCUUGCAUGGGGGGCACUGCCCGAUACCCCCAGAAAGCACACACCCAGAUACUGCAUUCCCUCUUGACUAGAACAUAAUUCUUAACAUUUAAACUUUCUGGAAUUGGGAAGAGUCUCAUCCCUAUCAGGUGCAUUCAAUGUU